This 1132-nucleotide ribosomal RNA is filed under the name Acinetobacter sp. 30A. RNAcentral describes it as "bacterial SSU rRNA". It matches the Rfam family "Bacterial small subunit ribosomal RNA", at positions 370 to 1495 of the family's 1533-position model. Lineage: Bacteria; Pseudomonadati; Pseudomonadota; Gammaproteobacteria; Moraxellales; Moraxellaceae. The record is from RNAcentral.
AAGGGGGGACCUGAUCAGCCAUGCCGCGUGUGUGAAGAAGGCCUUUUGGUUGUAAAGCACUUUAAGCGAGGAGGAGGCUUACCUGGUUAAUACCUGGGAUAAGUGGACGUUACUCGCAGAAUAAGCACCGGCUAACUCUGUGCCAGCAGCCGCGGUAAUACAGAGGGUGCAAGCGUUAAUCGGAUUUACUGGGCGUAAAGCGCGCGUAGGUGGCUAAUUAAGUCAAAUGUGAAAUCCCCGAGCUUAACUUGGGAAUUGCAUUCGAUACUGGUUAGCUAGAGUAUGGGAGAGGAUGGUAGAAUUCCAGGUGUAGCGGUGAAAUGCGUAGAGAUCUGGAGGAAUACCGAUGGCGAAGGCAGCCAUCUGGCCUAAUACUGACACUGAGGUGCGAAAGCAUGGGGAGCAAACAGGAUUAGAUACCCUGGUAGUCCAUGCCGUAAACGAUGUCUACUAGCCGUUGGGGCCCUUGAGGCUUUAGUGGCGCAGCUAACGCGAUAAGUAGACCGCCUGGGGAGUACGGUCGCAAGACUAAAACUCAAAUGAAUUGACGGGGGCCCGCACAAGCGGUGGAGCAUGUGGUUUAAUUCGAUGCAACGCGAAGAACCUUACCUGGCCUUGACAUACAGAGAACUUUCCAGAGAUGGAUUGGUGCCUUCGGGAACUCUGAUACAGGUGCUGCAUGGCUGUCGUCAGCUCGUGUCGUGAGAUGUUGGGUUAAGUCCCGCAACGAGCGCAACCCUUUUCCUUAUUUGCCAGCACUUCGGGUGGGAACUUUAAGGAUACUGCCAGUGACAAACUGGAGGAAGGCGGGGACGACGUCAAGUCAUCAUGGCCCUUACGGCCAGGGCUACACACGUGCUACAAUGGUCGGUACAAAGGGUUGCUACUGCGCGAGCAGAUGCUAAUCUCAAAAAGCCGAUCGUAGUCCGGAUCGCAGUCUGCAACUCGACUGCGUGAAGUCGGAAUCGCUAGUAAUCGCGGAUCAGAAUGCCGCGGUGAAUACGUUCCCGGGCCUUGUACACACCGCCCGUCACACCAUGGGAAGUUUGUUGCACCAGAAGGUAGGUAGUCUAACCUUAGGGGAGGACGCUUACCACGGUGUGGCCGAUGACUGGGGUGAAGUCGUAACAAG